CAGCCAUGAUCUGAAUAGUAGGGAGUGGCCUGGCCAAAGUACAAACCCCCUUUGAGUUACUCAGGCCUCAUAGAUUUUCCAAAAGUCUAAGAUGGAGCACACAUAGCGCCUCUCUGUGGGGAGCUCCCAGCCCAAAGGGGAAGGCUGGUCCUGUGGAGAAUCCCACAUGAGGCAAGAACUGGAGAGACAAGGCAGGUACAGUGCCCAGGAGCCACGCACUCAGACCCCUGGGUAGGAACCGGCGACCCAGGGAAGAAAGAGUGGGUGCCGUCGUAUUCCAGAGGGAAGGAAAAGCACGGAUGAAAGAGGCGGAGCUGAAAGGAUGCGAUGUCUUCAGGAAACAAUGCACAGCAAUGCCCAGGAUCCUCUCUUGGAUACAUGGCUGCUGACUGCUGUAGAAUGUUACCUCACCCUUUGGACUGGAAGAAAGAAUAUCAAAGUAGGAGGACUUUCUACCAGGAAGACAUUGAAACAUAAAGUUCCGGGGUAACACUUAGAACCACCAGAACUGCCUGUCAGAGAGGAGGAGUUGGAGAGAUGGGGCAUCAGAAGGCUUACUGAGCCUGCCUUAGGAAGGUGGCCAGAACCCCACACUAUCACUUCUCACUGUCCUUCAAGUCACCUUCCAAAUCUAGGCCAUUUCCUGACGACUUUCUUCCCACCCCGAGGGAGAUGUUAGACAUUCCCCACUCCUACGACACCGGAUGCAUCUCUUUAUUAUGAUAAGGAUAUCCCUUGCCUCUGAAUUCAUUAUUGACCUAUGUUUACCACUGGACACUGAAUUGGCUUACUGACUUAUGUUCCCCACCGGACUGUGGAUGCUCUGACCAUUGGGAUUGUGUCAUCCUUCUCAGGAGCUCAUUUAAGACUUAAAUGUUUAUCGACUGCCAGAAUAACUGAUUGGAUAAAUGAAAGUGUUUAAUGAGUAUUAAAAUAUGUGCUGGCAGGAAAGGAGAUCAAAAUUGAUACUGUGUGUAGACAUUGAGAACUGGGGGUGAAUGCUUGUUUGACAAAGAUGCAUUCUGCUCUUUGCUCUACAUUAGCCAGGUAAUAAUCUUGGUUAAAUUACUCAAUCAUUCUGAGCUUCCCUCUCGUUAGUAAAAUAAAGACAACAGUCCUUGUUGGAUAUAUGAGGAUUAAAUGAAAUGGUAAGUAUAAAAUGGUGCUUGGUACAUAGAAAAUAUUAAACACUGUUGAGUUUUUGAUAAAAUAAAAUUAUUUAUUCAUUUUUGCAUUGCUAGGGAUUGAGCUCAGGACCUUCCAUAUGCAAGGCAAGCAUUCUGUCACUGAGCUACAUCCCCAUUCUAAAAAGUGGAAAUGGACCGGGCUUGGUAAAAGUAAUACUGUCAGUGAAAGCUAUUUAUAAUGCUUGCUUAACAUUUACAUCCCAUGACUAAGCAGCAAAAUACUAUUUUGCAGCUCUCUUAAUACAUGCUGAAUUAACUUCAGUCAUUAUUUUCCCAAGGCUAACUUCUGUGUUGCUCUGAAGCCAUUUGAACUGGUGUUUGGGAUGUCACUUAACUUUUAAAAACUCUCAUUCCAGGAAAUGGGUAGGAUUUCAGAAUGAGUGAUUUCAGAAUGAGUAACACCAGGCCACAGACACAGAUACUUUCUAUGAGAAGUGUGCCCAAAAGACAAUAUGUAAGAGAAAAACAUAAUAGCAACUCUCUGUUGAAUAUCUAAAUGUGGAUGGGCGUGCUGGCACAUGCCUGUAACCCCAGACACUUAGGGAGCUGAGACAGGUUCAAGGCUUGCCUGGUCAACUUACUGAGAUACUGUCUCCAAGUAAAAACAGUGAGAGCUCAUUGCUCCCUGGGCUGAAUCCAGGUACUGCAAUACAUAGUAUUUCCACCCACUGCUUAGUGACAAUAAUUAGAUUUGAAAUGAUUUUAAUGCAAAGUAUUAGGAAUUCUUAAAUCUGGAGCCUUACUUUUUUUCCCUCUAUAUUUUAUGAAGGAAAUAUUCAAAUACACUUCUAGUUCAUUUUAAUGUUUCAUUCCAUGGGUAAUUCUUGUACCAAUAGAUUCCCAAGUGUAUUCUUGUAAAGAGUACUUAAAAUAUCUCAUCUUAAAACUGAAACUGUUUUAAAGAAUGGAUUUUUUUUUUAAUGGGCCACCAUCUUGUGAGAGAAAGAACACUGUUAAUAAGUCAAGUUCUAAUGACCCGGGCAGGACAGAGCAGGCAGGACUUGGUCAUUGCCAAAUCGAUCUCAAAAAACAGGAGUGCACAGGAAAUGGAAUGACAGCAAAUUUCAAAGCACAGCAAAAUUCUCAUCAAUGCCAAACACAGAAGUCACACUUCUUCUUCAAAUUUGCUGAACCAGAAAGAAAAAACAAACAUGAGGACUUUGGGAUCUUCAUCUGCACAAAGCAAUCUAAGUGACAUGUUGUUCUGUGGGGGUUCUACGAUAAGCAAGUUUGACUGCUUGUAUUCAAAGGGCUUUUAUCUUCGGAUUUGUUCUCAAGAUGAGCCUAUCCCAUGCACUCUGCCCAAUGAGUGUGCUCAAGCGUGCACCGAGGACCAUCUUGCAAACAAGACUUGGAGACAGACAUUUUUCAGGGGGAAAAGACAAAAAAAAAAAAAAAGUUCCAAUAGCAUUUACUGCUUGCUUUGUACAGGAUAACUAUAAGCCUGAAGCACGGCUACUCUAAUCAAGAAAAAAAUUAAAAUGUUAAAGGUGGUUUGUGGGAAUUGUUUUUGUUUUUCUAUCCUCCAGGUUCUUGUUUUUGUUUUAGAGGGAAUGCAUUCUUGCAGCUUAUCCAAUCUGAUAGACCUUUCCCUUGCUUGUGGAAAAGUCAAUGUAGUACCUAAUAUUUUAGAGCUGGAUCCUAUUUUCUAAUCUUGAUUUAAUCCAUAACUUUUAAAUGUAAUGAAUUGGAACCAAACAUUCAUAAAGUGGUCUUCUGGAAAUUUGAAAACACUUUCUAAUGGGAAAAGUUAUUUGCAAUGACACAUUUUCACAUUGACAUAAAUCUAAUUAACCCAUGGUGUAGGUGAAAUGACAGGAGGAAUAAAAAGCAGUGUAGUCUUUGUACCUAUCAAUAAAAUGUAUUAUUAGGUAGUACUCUCAAAGAUGGGAAAAAAUAAAACACUAGACCUCCAAACACCUAAAACCUGAGUUGAAUCCUGCCUCAGCUUUGUGAUGUUAGACAAAUAACUUCCUUGAGCUUCAGUGACCUCAUCCAUAACAUGGGUAUGAUGCUUGCAGUCCAGGGACGAUGCUUCAAGGACAACAACUGGAUUAACAAGUUCACCAUGGGGCCGUGCAUGCAUGACCAUCCCACUGGGUGACUUGUACAACCCGAUGGAACUGUCCCAUGCCCCCUGAUGGGGUGAUCAUGUAUGUGCCACUGGUGGUUUAAGAGGUGGGAACAUGUUAAAAGCCAAUUUAGGCUGGAUUUUGGCUCUGCCAUUUAUUUGCAGAGACUUGGGGAAGUCAUUUACUUUCUCCAUGCAUCGA
This is a long non-coding RNA of Chinchilla lanigera (long-tailed chinchilla), 3460 nucleotides long. RefSeq lists it as uncharacterized. NCBI's taxonomy places the organism in Eukaryota, Metazoa, Chordata, Mammalia, Rodentia, Chinchillidae. The transcript is spliced from 3 exons. The record is from RefSeq and is a predicted model, not a curated record.